CGGGUGAGUAACACGUGGGUAACCUGCCCAUAAGACUGGGAUAACUCCGGGAAACCGGGGCUAAUACCGGAUAACAUUUUGAACUGCAUGGUUCGAAAUUGAAAGGCGGCUUCGGCUGUCACUUAUGGAUGGACCCGCGUCGCAUUAGCUAGUUGGUGAGGUAACGGCUCACCAAGGCAACGAUGCGUAGCCGACCUGAGAGGGUGAUCGGCCACACUGGGACUGAGACACGGCCCAG
Molecule: ribosomal RNA, 238 nt
Filed under: uncultured Bacillus sp.
Lineage: Bacteria; Bacillati; Bacillota; Bacilli; Caryophanales; Bacillaceae
Description: partial 16S ribosomal RNA
Rfam family: Bacterial small subunit ribosomal RNA
Source: RNAcentral